This 1534-nucleotide ribosomal RNA is filed under the name uncultured bacterium. RNAcentral describes it as "bacterial SSU rRNA". It matches the Rfam family "Bacterial small subunit ribosomal RNA". The record is from RNAcentral.
AGAGUUUGAUCCUGGCUCAGAUUCGAACGCUGGCGGCAGGCCUAACACAUGCAAGUCGAGCGGAUGAAGAGAGCUUGCUCUCUGAUUCAGCGGCGGACGGGUGAGUAAUGCCUAGGAAUCUGCCUGAUAGUGGGGGACAACGUUUCGAAAGGAACGCUAAUACCGCAUACGUCCUACGGGAGAAAGCAGGGGACCUUCGGGCCUUGCGCUAUCAGAUGAGCCUAGGUCGGAUUAGCUAGUUGGUGAGGUAAUGGCUCACCAAGGCGACGAUCCGUAACUGGUCUGAGAGGAUGAUCAGUCACACUGGAACUGAGACACGGUCCAGACUCCUACGGGAGGCAGCAGUGGGGAAUAUUGGACAAUGGGCGAAAGCCUGAUCCAGCCAUGCCGCGUGUGUGAAGAAGGUCUUCGGAUUGUAAAGCACUUUAAGUUGGGAGGAAGGGCAUUAACCUAAUACGUUAGUGUUUUGACGUUACCGACAGAAUAAGCACCGGCUAACUUCGUGCCAGCAGCCGCGGUAAUACGAAGGGUGCAAGCGUUAAUCGGAAUUACUGGGCGUAAAGCGCGCGUAGGUGGUUUGUUAAGUUGGAUGUGAAAGCCCCGGGCUCAACCUGGGAACUGCAUCCAAAACUGGCAAGCUAGAGUAUGGCAGAGGGUGGUGGAAUUUCCUGUGUAGCGGUGAAAUGCGUAAUAUAGGAAGGAACACCAGUGGCGAAGGCGACCACCUGGGGCUAAUACUUGACACUGAGGUGCGAAAGCGUGGGGAGCAAAACAGGAUUAAUACCCUGGUAUCCAACCGCCGUAAACGAUGUUCGACUAGCCGUUGGGAUCCUUGAGAUCUUAGUGGCGCAGCUAACGCAUUAAGUCGACCGCCUGGGGAGUACGGCCGCAAGGUUAAAACUCAAAUGAAUUGACGGGGGCCCGCACAAGCGGUGGAGCAUGUGGUUUAAUUCGAAGCAACGCGAAGAACCUUACCAGGCCUUGACAUGCAGAGAACUUUCCAGAGAUGGAUUGGUGCCUUCGGGAACUCUGACACAGGUGCUGCAUGGCUGUCGUCAGCUCGUGUCGUGAGAUGUUGGGUUAAGUCCCGUAACGAGCGCAACCCUUGUCCUUAGUUACCAGCACGUUAUGGUGGGCACUCUAAGGAGACUGCCGGUGACAAACCGGAGGAAGGUGGGGAUGACGUCAAGUCAUCAUGGCCCUUACGGCCUGGGCUACACACGUGCUACAAUGGUCGGUACAAAGGGUUACCAAGCCGCGAGGUGGAGCUAAUCCCAUAAAACCGAUCGUAGUCCGGAUCGCAGUCUGCAACUCGGCUGCGUGAAGUCGGAAUCGCUAGUAAUCGUGAAUCAGAAUGUCACGGUGAAUACGUUCCCGGGCCUUGUACACACCGCCCGUCACACCAUGGGAGUGGGUUGCUCCAGAAGUAGCUAGUCUAACCUUCGGGAGGCCGGUUACCACGGAGUGAUUCAUGACUGGGGUGAAGUCGUAACAAGGUAGCCGUAGGGGAACCUGCGGCUGGAUCACCUCCUUA